Molecule: ribosomal RNA, 246 nt
Filed under: uncultured bacterium
Lineage: Bacteria
Description: partial 16S ribosomal RNA
Rfam family: Bacterial small subunit ribosomal RNA
Source: RNAcentral
GUAACGCGUGAGUAACCUGCCUUCAAGAGGGGAGUAACAUUCUGAAAAGAAUGCUAAUACCGCAUGACAUAUCGGAACCACAUGGUUUUGAUAUCAAAGAUUUUAUCGCUUGAAGAUGGACUCGCGUCCGAUUAGUUAGUUGGUGAGGUAACGGCUCACCAAGACCGCGAUCGGUAGCCGGACUGAGAGGUUGAACGGCCACAUUGGGACUGAGACACGGCCCAGACUCCUACGGGAGGCAGCAUG